RNAcentral lists this ribosomal RNA (320 nucleotides) under Staphylococcus aureus. RNAcentral describes it as "bacterial SSU rRNA". It matches the Rfam family "Bacterial small subunit ribosomal RNA", at positions 202 to 512 of the family's 1533-position model. Lineage: Bacteria; Bacillati; Bacillota; Bacilli; Caryophanales; Staphylococcaceae. The record is from RNAcentral.
AAGACGGUCUUGCUGUCACUUAUAGAUGGAUCCGCGCUGCAUUAGCUAGUUGGUAAGGUAACGGCUUACCAAGGCAACGAUGCAUAGCCGACCUGAGAGGGUGAUCGGCCACACUGGAACUGAGACACGGUCCAGACUCCUACGGGAGGCAGCAGUAGGGAAUCUUCCGCAAUGGGCGAAAGCCUGACGGAGCAACGCCGCGUGAGUGAUGAAGGUCUUCGGAUCGUAAAACUCUGUUAUUAGGGAAGAACAUAUGUGUAAGUAACUGUGCACAUCUUGACGGUACCUAAUCAGAAAGCCACGGCUAACUACGUGCCAGC